AUUAUGGAGAGUUUGAUCCUGGCUCAGAAUGAACGCUGGCGGCGUGCUUAACACAUGCAAGUCGAACGAUGAAGCCUAGCUUGCUAGGUGGAUUAGUGGCGCACGGGUGAGUAAUAUAUAGAUAACGUGCCUCUUAGUCUGGGAUAGCCAUUGGAAACGAUGAUUAAUACUAGAUACUCCUUCUCUUUAUAAUAAGAGUUGGGAAAGUUUUUCGCUAAGAGAUCGGUCUAUAUCCCAUCAGCUAGUUGGUAGUGUAAGAGACUACCAAGGCAAUGACGGGUAGCGGGUUUGAGAGGAUGAUCCGCCACACUGGUACUGAGACACGGACCAGACUCCUACGGGAGGCAGCAGUGAGGAAUAUUGCACAAUGGAGGAAACUCUGAUGCAGCAACGCCGCGUGGAGGAUGACGCAUUUCGGUGUGUAAACUCCUUUUAUAUGUCAAGAAAAUGACGGUAGCAUAUGAAUAAGCACCGGCUAACUCCGUGCCAGCAGCCGCGGUAAUACGGAGGGUGCAAGCGUUAUUCGGAAUCACUGGGCGUAAAGGACACGUAGGCGGGAAGCCAAGUCUGAUGUGAAAUCCUAUGGCUCAACCAUAGAACUGCAUUGGAAACUGGUUACCUAGAGUAUGGGAGGGGGAGAUGGAAUUAGUGGUGUAGGGGUAAAAUCCGUAGAUAUCACUAGGAAUACCUAAAGCGAAGGCGAUCUCCUGGAACAUUACUGACGCUAAGGUGUGAAAGCGUGGGGAGCAAACGGGAUUAGAUACCCCGGUAGUCCACGCCCUAAACGAUGUUCACUAGUCGUCGGGAUGCUAGUCAUCUCGGUGAUGCACUUAACAGAUUAAGUGAACCGCCUGGGGAGUACGGUCGCAAGAUUAAAA
RNAcentral lists this ribosomal RNA (878 nucleotides) under Sulfurimonas sp. RNAcentral describes it as "bacterial SSU rRNA". It matches the Rfam family "Bacterial small subunit ribosomal RNA", at positions 1 to 899 of the family's 1533-position model. The record is from RNAcentral. Lineage: Bacteria; Pseudomonadati; Campylobacterota; Epsilonproteobacteria; Campylobacterales; Sulfurimonadaceae.